RNAcentral lists this transfer RNA (71 nucleotides) under Bradyrhizobium nitroreducens. Its description in RNAcentral is "Bradyrhizobium sp. TSA1 tRNA-Met". The stretch from base 8 to 66 matches the Rfam family "tRNA", at positions 8 to 63 of the family's 71-position model. Rfam says of the family: Transfer RNA (tRNA) molecules are approximately 80 nucleotides in length. Lineage: Bacteria; Pseudomonadati; Pseudomonadota; Alphaproteobacteria; Hyphomicrobiales; Nitrobacteraceae. The record is from RNAcentral.
CGCGGGAUAGAGCAGCCCGGUAGCUCGUCAGGCUCAUAACCUGAAGAUCAUCGGCUCAAAUUUGAUCGUAA